GCAUUCUGAGUUUGACAAAGUUUUUUUUUUUUUUUUUUUCACACCACCUCUAUUGGAUCGAGGAGAUGCUAAAUCGAUUUGGUCGAUUCUGUAAGGAGGCUGCGGCGGCAGCAGGAGGUGAGGAUGGCCAUGGUGGCCGGAUGUGAGUAUGAGGAAGGCUGGCGGUGGUGAAAACAAUGAAGACGAUGGGCAUCGGAGAGUAUGGAGGAGCUGCGACGACUAUGUGAGGAAGAGACGAGGCAUUAGGUCGUGUUGGCAGUUGUUAGCGAUGGUAGAAAGCGGUAGACGACCGGAGUUGGUCGACGGUGGCUGGAGAUAGUUUCUCAACCUUGAAAACCAGACUGUUAAUGACGGAUCUAGUUGAACUGGUAUCAUAAGAUGACAUAAUCAUAGGAUAUUCAUCCGCUAGUAUGCCACAAUGGAUCUGAAAUGUUUAAGGUAUCAUACGAUGACAUAAUCAGUGGAUAUUCAUGCCAAAUUGAUUAGGGGGCACGUUAGAAAUACUUUGUAUUCUAUGUGCUUAUGAGGCACGUGACCAAUUUAUCUUGAUAGUUUUAUAUAAAUCUUUGUAUGGGCUUUCGUAUA
Lactuca sativa (garden lettuce) is the source of this 585-nucleotide long non-coding RNA. RefSeq lists it as uncharacterized. The record is from RefSeq and is a predicted model, not a curated record. NCBI's taxonomy places the organism in Eukaryota, Viridiplantae, Streptophyta, Magnoliopsida, Asterales, Asteraceae.